AGAGUUUGAUCAUGGCUCAGGACGAACGCUGGCGGCGUGCUUAACACAUGCAAGUCGAACGGAAAGGCCCUUCGGGGUACUCGAGUGGCGAACGGGUGAGUAACACGUGGGUGAUCUGCCCUGCACUUUGGGAUAAGCCUGGGAAACUGGGUCUAAUACCGAAUAUGACCACGCUCUUCAUGGGGUGUGGUGGAAAGCUUUUGCGGUGUGGGAUGGGCCCGCGGCCUAUCAGCUUGUUGGUGGGGUAAUGGCCUACCAAGGCGACGACGGGUAGCCGGCCUGAGAGGGUGACCGGCCACACUGGGACUGAGAUACGGCCCAGACUCCUACGGGAGGCAGCAGUGGGGAAUAUUGCACAAUGGGCGCAAGCCUGAUGCAGCGACGCCGCGUGAGGGAUGACGGCCUUCGGGUUGUAAACCUCUUUCAAUAGGGACGAAGCGCAAGUGGCGGUACCUAUAGAAGAAGCACCGGCCAACUACGUGCCAGCAGCCGCGGUAAUACGUAGGGUCCGAGCGUUGUCCGGAAUUACUGGGCGUAAAGAGCUCGUAGGUGGUUUGUCGCGUUGUUCGUGAAAACUCACAGCUUAACUGUGGGCGUGCGGGCGAUACGGGCAGACUAGAGUACUGCAGGGGAGACUGGAAUUCCUGGUGUAGCGGUGGAAUGCGCAGAUAUCAGGAGGAACACCGGUGGCGAAGGCGGGUCUCUGGGCAGUAACUGACGCUGAGGAGCGAAAGCGUGGGGAGCGAACAGGAUUAGAUACCCCGGUAGUCCAA
RNAcentral lists this ribosomal RNA (773 nucleotides) under uncultured bacterium. RNAcentral's name for it is "bacterial SSU rRNA". It matches the Rfam family "Bacterial small subunit ribosomal RNA", at positions 8 to 798 of the family's 1533-position model. The record is from RNAcentral.